RNAcentral lists this ribosomal RNA (178 nucleotides) under uncultured bacterium. RNAcentral's name for it is "partial 16S ribosomal RNA". It matches the Rfam family "Bacterial small subunit ribosomal RNA", at positions 332 to 526 of the family's 1533-position model. The record is from RNAcentral.
AUUACUCCUACGGGAGGCAGCAGUGGGGAAUAUUGGACAAUGGGCGAAAGCCUGAUCCAGCAAUGCCGCGUGAGUGAUGAAGGCCUUAGGGUUGUAAAGCUCUUUUACCAGGGAUGAUAAUGACAGUACCUGGAGAAUAAGCUCCGGCUAACUCCGUGCCAGCAGCCGCGGUAAUAAU